UACGUAGGGUGCGAGCGUUAAUCGGAAUUACUGGGCGUAAAGCGUGCGUAGGUGGACAGGAAAGUCAGUGGUGAAAUCUUCGAGCUUAACUCGGAAACUGCCAUUGAUGCUAUUUGUCUUGAAUACUUUGGAGGUAAGCGGAAUAUGUCAUGUAGCGGUGAAAUGCUUAGAUAUGACAUAGAACACCAAUUGCGAAGGCAGCUUACUACACAGUUAUUGACACUGAGGCACGAAAGCGUGGGUAGCAAACAGG
This 253-nucleotide ribosomal RNA is filed under the name uncultured bacterium. RNAcentral's name for it is "partial 16S ribosomal RNA". It matches the Rfam family "Bacterial small subunit ribosomal RNA", at positions 524 to 776 of the family's 1533-position model. The record is from RNAcentral.